RNAcentral lists this ribosomal RNA (253 nucleotides) under uncultured bacterium. RNAcentral's name for it is "partial 16S ribosomal RNA". It matches the Rfam family "Bacterial small subunit ribosomal RNA", at positions 524 to 776 of the family's 1533-position model. The record is from RNAcentral.
UACGAAGGUCCCAAGCGUUAUCCGGAUUUAUUGGGCUUAAAGGGUGCGUAGGCGGAUUAUUAAGUCAGUGGUGAAAGCUCCAUGCCUAACAUGGAAAUUGCCAUUGAUACUGAUGAUCUUGAGUACAUUUGAAGUGGGCGGAAUGUGUCAUGUAGCGGUGAAAUGCUUAGAUAUGACACAGAACACCGAUUGCGUAGGCAGCUCGCUAAACUGUAACUGACGCUGAGGCACGAAAGCGCGGGGAGCAAACAGG